GCCGGGCGCAGUGGCGCGUGCCUGUAGUCCCAGCUACUCGGGAGGCUGAGGCAGGAGGAUCGCUUGAGCCCAGGAGUUCUGGGCUGUAGUGCGCUAUGCCGAUCGGGUGUCCGCACUAAGUUCGGCAUCGAUAUGGUGGCCUCCUGGGAGCGGGGGACCACCAGGUUGCCUAAGGAGGGGUGAACCGGCCCAGGUCGGAAAUGGAGCAGAUCAAAAGUGAUGCUGCCUGAUGGGCCAGGAGGGGCAUCUGGCUUGACAUCAACAGCAGGGCUUGGAUGGGUACAGUUUUGGCAUUAA
Molecule: signal recognition particle RNA, 297 nt
Filed under: Zalophus californianus (California sea lion)
Lineage: Eukaryota; Metazoa; Chordata; Mammalia; Carnivora; Otariidae
Description: Metazoan signal recognition particle RNA (ENSZCAG00015012567.1)
Rfam family: Metazoan signal recognition particle RNA
About the family: The signal recognition particle (SRP) is a universally conserved ribonucleoprotein.
Source: RNAcentral